RNAcentral lists this ribosomal RNA (530 nucleotides) under Escherichia coli. RNAcentral describes it as "partial 23S ribosomal RNA". It matches the Rfam family "Bacterial large subunit ribosomal RNA", at positions 1215 to 1746 of the family's 2925-position model. The record is from RNAcentral. Lineage: Bacteria; Pseudomonadati; Pseudomonadota; Gammaproteobacteria; Enterobacterales; Enterobacteriaceae.
UAUGCGUUGUUGGGUAGGGGAGCGUUCUGUAAGCCUGUGAAGGUGUGCUGUGAGGCAUGCUGGAGGUAUCAGAAGUGCGAAUGCUGACAUAAGUAACGAUAAAGCGGGUGAAAAGCCCGCUCGCCGGAAGACCAAGGGUUCCUGUCCAACGUUAAUCGGGGCAGGGUGAGUCGACCCCUAAGGCGAGGCCGAAAGGCGUAGUCGAUGGGAAACAGGUUAAUAUUCCUGUACUUGGUGUUACUGCGAAGGGGGGACGGAGAAGGCUAUGUUGGCCGGGCGACGGUUGUCCCGGUUUAAGCGUGUAGGCUGGUUUUCCAGGCAAAUCCGGAAAAUCAAGGCUGAGGCGUGAUGACGAGGCACUACGGUGCUGAAGCAACAAAUGCCCUGCUUCCAGGAAAAGCCUCUAAGCAUCAGGUAACAUCAAAUCGUACCCCAAACCGACACAGGUGGUCAGGUAGAGAAUACCAAGGCGCUUGAGAGAACUCGGGUGAAGGAACUAGGCAAAAUGGUGCCGUAACUUCGGGAGAAGG